CAACGGUUUCAGGCGGUUAGGGCUCUGUCACUGCGCUUCUGUUCAGCUCUCGGGCUCCGAGGAAUGUUGUCUGGCUCCUCCUUCCCUGCGACUAGCUGAGGAGCUGUAGGUUGGGAGAUAAACAAGUUGAAGUUGAAAGAAGAUAAUUGAUUUCCCUAAGACCUCACCGGAAAUAAUUGCAAGAGCAGAAUUUGAACUAGGCCUGUUGCAGUCUGCCUCCAGAACCUAGGCUCCUAACCAUUGAUGAAUAAAAUGAGACCCUGAGGAGAAAUCAGCUGGAAUUCAGACCCAGGCCUAUCAGACCCAAGAGAUCAUUCCUGAACCAGACUGCCUCUAGGAAGCACUUGACUAGUAGGUCCUAGGUGGGAUCAGGUGAGGGGUCCUCUCACCCAGCCAGCCUUUUCUGUAAACAAUGAGUUAAUCUGGUCCCAACAUGGGCCCUAAAGGUGGCUGGGUGUGUAUUUCACAGCCUCAGGACCAUUGGAGGCUUCUCAUCAAGAAGCCCUAAUCAUAAUUGCUACCAUUUAUGGAACACUUUUUAUGGACCAGGCAAAGUGGAAAGCAUUCUGCAUCAUCUAUGCAUCAUCUCACUGAAUCUUUUUAAUAAUUCUAGGACAUAGGUACAGCAAGUCCCCCACUUACGAACAUUCAACUUGCGAACUUUCACAGAUACAAACGGACCCCACAUUACGAACAUUUGUAGAUGCGAACAAAUCGCGGA
Hipposideros armiger (great roundleaf bat) is the source of this 721-nucleotide long non-coding RNA. RefSeq lists it as uncharacterized. The transcript is spliced from 3 exons. Lineage: Eukaryota; Metazoa; Chordata; Mammalia; Chiroptera; Hipposideridae. The record is from RefSeq and is a predicted model, not a curated record.